Molecule: ribosomal RNA, 780 nt
Filed under: Triticum aestivum (bread wheat)
Lineage: Eukaryota; Viridiplantae; Streptophyta; Magnoliopsida; Poales; Poaceae
Description: partial small subunit ribosomal RNA
Source: RNAcentral
AUGUUCCAAGGUGGUUCUUCAAGGAAGCAAGGUCCCAGACUUGCAAUACGUGAUGCUGACGAGGAACCACCAAGAGACGCUCCUUUGAGGCCCUGUGAAUGGCCAUCGGAAUUUUUUUUGAAUCAAGCGGGAAUCAAAGAAGAAUUUAGUGCAUAUUUGCGUAACGCCGGUCUUGAGGACUUUGAAGCUGACAAAUGCCCCCAGUAUCAUGAUCUCACAAGUUCAUUUGUGAGGAGGUUUGAGUUUUCAUCUUCGCGUAAUUCUCCUUCAAUCAUGUUUGACCUUUAUGACAAAUCUUAUACCAUGGACUUAGAGGAUUUCACUUCUGCUUGCAAACUUCCAUCUUGGGGUAAUGUCAGGGAUCCCCCUAAAUCUGAAUAUAUAGACUUUCUUGCUAGAAUAACUGUGGGGGAAUCUAGAGAUAUAACACAAGCCACUAUAGGGAGCGUUCACUUUCCUGCUAUACAUUAUUUUGCUCUCUUCAUAGGUAGAUGCAUAAAUGCUAAGGAUGAAGCAUGUCACAUGUGUGUCCCUGAUCUCAGCAUUCUCAAGAGUGUUGUGUUAGGAGACCAAUCUUAUCAUAUGGGAGCCAUCGUAGCUCGCAGGUUGCAUCAGAAUAGACAUAACGGAGAUUUCUUUGGAGGAAUUUAUGCAACCCGCUUAGCUAAUUUUCUUGAGAUAGACAUUCGUGAGGGUGAUAUGGAGUUACCCCCUUCUUAUUUAGAUUUUGAUUCUAUGGUUUCCCACCAGUUUGUUGAGAGGACUGAACCACCUCUCUAG